This 483-nucleotide ribosomal RNA is filed under the name uncultured bacterium. RNAcentral describes it as "partial 16S ribosomal RNA". It matches the Rfam family "Bacterial small subunit ribosomal RNA", at positions 28 to 507 of the family's 1533-position model. The record is from RNAcentral.
GAUGAACGCUGGCGGCGUGCCUAACACAUGCAAGUCGAACGAAGCUUGACGGAUGAUUUCUUCGGAAUGAAACCAGAUAUGACUUAGUGGCGGACGGGUGAGUAACACGUGAGCAACCUGCCUUUCAGAGGGGGAUAACGGCUGGAAACGGUCGCUAAUACCGCAUGAUGUGUUCGGAUGGCAUCAUCUGAACAUCAAAGAUUUAUCGCUGAAAGAUGGGCUCGCGUCUGAUUAGAUAGUUGGUGGGGUAACGGCCUACCAAGUCUACGAUCAGUAGCCGGACUGAGAGGUUGAACGGCCACAUUGGGACUGAGAUACGGCCCAGACUCCUACGGGAGGCAGCAGUGGGGAAUAUUGCACAAUGGGGUAAACCCUGAUGCAGCAACGCCGCGUGAAGGAUGACGGUUUUCGGAUUGUAAACUUCUUUUCUUAGUGACGAAGACAGUGACGGUAGCUAAGGAAUAAGCAUCGGCUAACUACGUG